Non-coding RNA from Diceros bicornis minor, 303 nucleotides. NCBI's taxonomy places the organism in Eukaryota, Metazoa, Chordata, Mammalia, Perissodactyla, Rhinocerotidae. The record is from the annotation of a RefSeq genome assembly.
AUGGAACAGACUCCUCAGUCCCUGAGCAUCCAGGAGGGUGAAAAGGCCAUUCUGACCUGUAACUACACAAAUUCUCCAGUGUCCUUACAGUGGUACCGACAAGAUCUGGGAAAAGGCCUCAUCUUCUUGUUACUAAUACGUGAAAAUGAGCGCGAGAAACAGACAGGAAGGCUGAGGGCCACCUUUGACACCACCAUCAAACAGGGCUCCUUUCAUAUAACAGCCUCCCAGCCUGCAGACUCAGCCACCUACCUCUGUCCUGCAGACACACCGUGGGGCACUGCCACUCGCUUCCUGUACUGA